Molecule: non-coding RNA, 628 nt
Organism: Camelina sativa (false flax)
Lineage: Eukaryota; Viridiplantae; Streptophyta; Magnoliopsida; Brassicales; Brassicaceae
Source: RefSeq, a predicted model, not a curated record
AAUAGGGUUGCUCAUAAUAUUAUGGUCCAAAAAUAAAUAAAAAACUUAAAUUUAAAUCUAAUAAACCUGAGAAUCGUUGUUGUAGGAAGAAGGGGAAGGAACCUAUAAGACACGGUUCGUGUCAAAAUGUGGUUGGCUCCUGGGUAGAUAUAAAAGAUAAAUUCUUUUUUUCCUAUUUUUCUUCUUUCCUCUUUGCAACUCUCUCUCUCUUCUCUUUGGUUUUACACAAACUGAUCGUUUGAAGGUGCAUAUUGCUGUAAUGGCGGUUUAACAUGUCCUGCAUCUGAGUUUAUCGAAGAGACAUUUCUUCUUUCGGUUAAGCGCGCUCUCCCUAGCAAGAAUGAAAAAGGGUUUGGUCAGGAGUUCAUAGUUGAUCUCUUUUUGUUUCGUUUUGUGCAAUGUCUUCGAUCACUUGUUCAGCCUGCAACUAGAAGAGGAAGAUGAUGUAAACGUGGUACUCUUUGGGCUUUGCUCUGAAACUGUAAUCAGAUAGAUGUUUUGUGGCAAAAAUUUGGUGCAACCCAACAUGAUCUCUCCUACAUCUACCCUUGAUCAGUUCUUGCCAAGCUUGGUUAAUUAAGCAUUUUAAUGUUGUAUUUUUCUUGUAAAUUAUAUCUCAUGAUUUUUG